UGAUGCCAGGGUCAAAAGGUCUAAACCCACAUGAGCUUGCUCAUAGGUGGGUGAAAGACCUUGGGACCCGCCCCAAUAUGAGCAUAAAAGUGGAGCGUAAGCUUCACGAUAUGCGAAUAUAGGGCAGGAUUGUGGGAGUACGAAGUACGAAACAAUCCGUAAGGCAUCU
Molecule: small RNA, 169 nt
Organism: Roseburia sp. CAG:303
Lineage: Bacteria; Bacillati; Bacillota; Clostridia; Lachnospirales; Lachnospiraceae
Rfam family: Clostridiales-1 RNA
Source: Rfam